AACGAAUCCCCACUGGUGUAGCAAUACACCGGUGGGGGGAAGUGGCGAAAGGGGCAGUAAUGCGUGGGUAACCUACCCUGGGGAUGGGCAUAGCCGGCCUAACGGCCGGGUAAUUCCCAGCGAUUCGGCGAGGUGGCAUCACUUUGCCGGGAAAUGAGUUUCGCCUCGGGAGGGACUCACGUGAUAUUAGCUAGUUGGUGAGGUAACGGCCCACCAAGGCAAAGAUGUCUAGCGGGUGUGAGAGCACGACCCGCGCCACUGGCACUGAGACACUGGCCAGACACCUACGGGUGGCUGCAGUCGAGGAUCUUCGUCAAUGGGCGCAAGCCUGAACGAGCGACGCCGCGUGCGGGAUGAAGGCCUUCGGGUUGUAAACCGCUGUCGAGGGGGAUAAAAGCCGCAAGGCUUGAUUGAUCCCUGGAGGAAGCUCGGGCUAAGUUCGUGCCAGCAGCCGCGGUAAGACGAACCGAGCGAACGUUGUUCGGAAUCACUGGGCUUAAAGGGCGCGUAGGCGGCUCUUCAAGUCGGGGGUGAAAUCCCACAGCUUAACUGUGGAAGUGCCUUCGAUACUGAGGAGCUCGAGCGAGGUAGGGGCCCAAGGAUGCUUCUGGUG
RNAcentral lists this ribosomal RNA (613 nucleotides) under uncultured Planctomycetota bacterium. Its description in RNAcentral is "bacterial SSU rRNA". It matches the Rfam family "Bacterial small subunit ribosomal RNA", at positions 65 to 675 of the family's 1533-position model. The record is from RNAcentral. Lineage: Bacteria; Pseudomonadati; Planctomycetota.